GGGAAGCUGGCUCAGUAGUAGAGUGCUUGCCUUGCAUGCAUGAGGCCCUGGGUUCGAUUCUUGGGCACCACA
Non-coding RNA from Dipodomys ordii (Ord's kangaroo rat), 72 nucleotides. Lineage: Eukaryota; Metazoa; Chordata; Mammalia; Rodentia; Heteromyidae. The record is from Rfam.